GUUUUGACAACAGUUGGUUAGAAUAUGGUGCUAGUAACACCAAGGCUGUGGGUUCAAUCCCCAUAUGAGCCA
Non-coding RNA from Lamprotornis superbus, 72 nucleotides. The record is from the annotation of a GenBank genome assembly. Lineage: Eukaryota; Metazoa; Chordata; Aves; Passeriformes; Sturnidae.